GGUUUCUUCAUUAUACAGGGAGAAGCAUUUUGAGAAUGUCUUUGUAUCUUGUUUUGGUGGGGAUCAUUUUUUCUCAUUGCUGUGACUGCAGGAAUAUUGAUCUCAGCGUUACUCUGACCAUUAAUGAAAUAUGAUGGCAAUAAGCAAAGACACGCACCUCUAGCCUCCUGGGAGCUUAAUCUUCUGUUACAACGUUUGCAUUUGGUAUUACUAAGUUGAUUAGGCUGGUCUCAAAUUCUUGAUCCUCCUGUCUCAGCCUCCUGAGUUGCUGGGAUUACAGUGUACGCCAAUGCAUGCAGAGAUUGAACCCAAGAUAGCUAGACCACUGAGUUAUAUUCCAAGCCCUUUCUGUUUUGAGACAGGGUCUCACUCAGUUGCUGAGACUGGCCUCCACUUUUUGAUCUUCCUACCUCAGCCUCCUGAGGCUCUAGGAUUAUAGGUGUGUACUAUCAUGCCUGGCUAAUUUUUCUGAUUCUUGCCCAUUUACUCAGCCUGGUUGUCCUAUCUUUCUGCUCUUCUGUCAAAUCCAAACAUAUUUUAACAAAUAACUUUUCUGUGGGACCUAGUUUGUGUUUAAUUCUGUUGUUUCCAAGAAAGAAUUUGACUAAAUUUCCUUCGAGGGAUUCUCACCCUGUGCUGCAGCACCUAGUUCAUAUGGCAGGAAAAUUGGCAUGCCAAGGGAGAGCUGGGGGAACAGAGAGGGCUUGGCAAGGAAUUUGGCAGAACUGGGGCAUUGGGAAGGAUCCAGUUGAAUAAACUGGGACAAUAUUGGAAGCUGUGGGUAAGAGUGUUUCCUAAGAAGGUGACAUGUAUAAUGUUUGGGCACCAGGUCAGCAGAGUGAUUCAAGAGUCCCAGCCCUUAUAAGUAUGUCACCAGGAACCAAAUUCAGGAAGGUGACUAAAUGUUAAGGCUCCACCUGGAUGGUGAGCCAAGCAGCCUUGGUUGACAUUGAUGCUGGAGCUGAGAGUAUACAUGGGAUAGAAGAGCAGCGGAUGGUAAAGCUGUGGAGACUUGAAGGAGAAGCUGGCAAUCAUCAUGAAAGUCAUGGAAACCACUUUCGGAAAUGCUUUUUGGCCAUUUCUUCAGAACCAAUUCCCAGGUAAUACAACAGAAUGUAGCCUCAUUAUGUAGGAGGUAAACUUCAUUAGUUGGGUGUGUUUAUUGUAUGCCUAUAAUCCCAGCAACUCUGGAGGCUGAGGUAGGAGAAUUGCAAGUUUGAGUUCAGCCUGAGCAAUUUAGUGAGACCUUUUCUCAAAAUAAAAAAUAAAAAGGGCCAGGGAUGUUGCUCAGUGGAUAGGUUUCCACUGGGUUCAAUUCCCAAUACAAAAAGAAAAAAGAAAACCAAGAUUGUACCAAUGGAGAUACUUAAGAGAACACUGGCAAGUCAGAGACAGUCUUUAGAAUAACUAUUUAUUUAGCCUAUUUGUGUUCCGCAUGUUAUACAAAAUGCUUCACAUCACUGUCUUAUUUAAAUCUCUCAAUAAUCCUGACAGGUAGGUAUUAGUAACCCCAUUUUGUGGAUGAUGGAACAGGCUGAGGAAUUAAUUAUCAGAUUAGAUAGCAAAUAAAUGUCAAGGCAAGAGUUAAAACCUAGAUCUGGUUUGCUCCAAAACACAGACUUCUUCUGUAGGCAGUGCUUAUGGAGGACCCCAAAAUACUUUAAACAGUCUCAGCAUUAGUCCCUUCUCCUCUAGAGACUGCUCUCAAGGUGAUAUCAUUCAUCUGGCUGUAUAAAUCUGGAUGAUAAAAGUGACAAGGACUCUCUUCUUGACCAAACUUGGUUCAGGCUCCUUGAAGCCAUGUCUCAAGGAGGCUUUGACCUUGGACUUCAGUGUGGGCCUGCAUCACCCAGUUUUAACAAGAAUCCUGUUAAGUCAGUUAAGAGAGAAUCCCCACCCUCAAUAUUUGAAAACCCUUGGGUCUGUGAUCACAUCCCAUCCUUUGCCCUUAGUAUCAGAUCACCUUGGUCGCCUUCAGCCUGAGUGCAUGAAGCCCUGAAGCCCCCUCUUGGUAAUAUUCUACCCAUCCACCUUCAAGCCUAUCUUUAGUGAUAAAUCUCCAUUUGUCCUUGAUCUUUUUGGAAUCAAACUGUCGCCACCCCUCGCCGGCAAGGGAAAACACGACACAGGAUUCUUCUUUCAGCAGUUUAUUCAGGCCUUGAUUCAAGUAUCAUCUUCUAGUGACCCCCCGCCGAGCGCCCAAGCAUAGCCUAAUAAAGCUUACUUAAGUCCAAUCCAAAGCUGCCAAGCGGGG
Marmota monax (woodchuck) is the source of this 2254-nucleotide long non-coding RNA. RefSeq lists it as uncharacterized. The record is from RefSeq and is a predicted model, not a curated record. The transcript has 3 exons. NCBI's taxonomy places the organism in Eukaryota, Metazoa, Chordata, Mammalia, Rodentia, Sciuridae.